Catharus ustulatus (Swainson's thrush) is the source of this 5414-nucleotide long non-coding RNA. RefSeq lists it as uncharacterized. The record is from RefSeq and is a predicted model, not a curated record. The transcript is spliced from 2 exons. Lineage: Eukaryota; Metazoa; Chordata; Aves; Passeriformes; Turdidae.
CAGACAAACCAAAACCAAAGUCAUGUGCUGUUAUCCUUCUGUUUACAAUGACAGCACUGCAGCUGCAAGGGUUACCCUCUGAGGCACACAGCAACUAACAGGUGAGAGACUUAACACAGGCAGAAGAAUAUGCUGAAAUACACUGAAAUUGCAUUAACAUUUGUAAAAAUACUUUUCUCGUUACCUUUUAAUCCUUCACACAUAACGUUACAGAAUGUGUGCACUUUCUCCACUCAGCCUGCAUGGGUGAGUUUAGUAAUUCAUGUGCCAUCAUGAGCCAUCACCCCAAACUGGACCAGGUCCUUCCACAGAGCCGUUGCACAAAUACACCUGUUCAGUGUCUCCGACCUUCAGAGUUUGCCAAUGUAAACCAAGGUGUUUACAAGAAGAAAAUGCAAGAUAGAACUAAAAUCUCAAAUGUUCUACCAUGUCCAUCACAAAAGUAUUAUAUUGAAACAGCCUUUUCCUUAGGCUUAGUGAAAAGCACAUGCAAGGUAGAUUUAUUUUUGUCUGCCAAUCGACAGCGUCCUCACCACCCGUGUAUGUUUCUGUCAGCAGUGUCACUGUGGACAGGCUCUGUCGGGAUAUCAGAUGUUACAGUUCUAUUUUAAAUACACAAAAGACCUUGGUCAAACUGAUCUCUUUGUGCAGCUUUAACCAGGAGGAACACGCAAAUGGUUUCACUACAUUUAACUCCUUUGUUCUCCACUCUCAACAAGCCCAAGCAGGAAGGCUGGAGGACAUAUAAGGCACAUACAAAGAAAACAGCAUCAAUUCUGCUAUCCUUCUCUGAACUCUCCUGCGGGGAUGUACCUACCCUUAGCUUUUUUUCUUGCUUGGUUCUGAAAAAAAAAAACAGGAGAAAUUUACUUUCCUCUCCUAGGAGGAUGGAAGAACUGGCAGAAUCACGAUUGGCCAAAUGUGAUCCUUAGCAUCCCCAGUCAGCUGCUGCAGGAUUCAGGACUGCGCACACAAUCACUUGUGUGCUGCUGAGCACGCCAAAUAUACAAGCAAAGGAUAAAGUGAAAUCAGGCUUUGCUUGGACAACAGCUCUUGCCUCAAGCAUGGGCUGGGUUUCUCCAAAGAGUAUUAACAGAGCAGCCCAAGUGUUUUAGAGGGAGUACUGCCCAUAUUUUUAAAAUUUGAAAAAAAAAUUUUCUUUUUCAAACUAAUGGAGAAAACUUGCUCAGAACUGAAGGAUUUGCAGAUAUAUCUUUCUAACUAGCAAGUGGUAAAAUGCUACAUAAUGCCAAUAAACCCCUUCCAGUUCAUUAUGUGCAACAGCAAAGAAUUGUACUUCUCUUCCAUUUCCUACCAAUCCUUCCAGCAGUAAUUGCGGGGCCAGGCAGUUGUGCGUGUUUGCUGCCACUGAGAGGGCAAAGAUUCAUUAGUCACCGGGAGCACAGCACACACCACUGCAGUCCUGCCAGCAGUUCAUUUUCCCAAUCACCCUUCUCCCCCUCCCCCUCUCAAAUUAAGAUUCUGGAUGUGUUUCCCAGUGAGCAGUAGCUAAUGUCAAAUUUCACAAGUGUAAUGCCCCUCUGAGUUAGCUAUCUGAAGAAGGUAUGCCCUUUUAGGUGGCGUGAUUUAUUCUUACUUUUAUUUUAAAUACAGUGCUUUAGAGAAAUUACCUCUAAUUCUACUACUUUGAAGAUGCUAUCUCACAGGAUUUUCACUUUGAGGGCUUGAACUCCUGGCAGGAGGGAGGAUGGAAAUCCUCUGUUCAAAAGCUUUGGGGCCUUCUGACUGACAGCUGAGCACAAGCCCCUGCUUAUUAGCUGUAUGUCACCAUCUGCCACUAUUCUGUAGCCCCACAACCUUCCAGUCAUUUUUGAGCUGUACAGGAAAGCAAGAUCUCCUCAAACUAGGCCAUUUAUAAUACUCUCCUAAAUAAUUUUUUUUAAAAAGUGAUCUUUUCUUUGUGGUUUUAAAAAGUAAGUUUUAAAUAUGUGCAGACUACCUCACAGGCAACAACAAAAGCAGACCUUUGUACUCUGCACACAGAUGCUGGAAAACAAAUCCAUGGAAUACCUUCAAAGAAGCAGAACUAGAGGAAAAUUCACUUGAAUGAGGAGGGAAAGAUAUCACACACAAUUCUUGUGCAGAGGCUUGGCUGAUCAAAGAACAUCUCAAAAUAAAAGGAUGAUGAACAUGACGGCAGGCAAUGGGAAAAGGAUUUAAAGACACUUCUGAAUUGCAGCCAUUAUUAAGAGCUUUUAAAAUCUAAGAAGGAAUCCCAGAAGCAUCAAGACAGAUGCUUUUCCCACCCUUCUCCUAGAACAGCAAAAUAGAAAUGCUGUCUUCAUGGUCCCCCAGUGCAACAUCCCCCACUGCAAGUCAGUUCCAGCAGUUCUUUAAGGACCAUGGGGUGAUGUCUUUACAUUGCACUGAGCAGUCACAACCAGUGGCAACGUUACAAGACCUUGACUAGCUUGAAUCACUGAAUAGUCAGCUAUGAUGCUGAGAAGGUGGGCAGUUCUAUUCCCUAGAAAUAUGCACAAUGCUCUAUUUAGGGAAGGAUGAAGCUGUAUUUGAUCAGUUGUUCAUGUACAUCAGCAAGCACAGCAAAAAUGGGUCAUGGAAGAGCUGAGGAGACCAAGAUGACUGGAUGUGGACAACAAGGAAACUACAAAGACUGAAAUCACCACAAAGCGUCAGUUUUGAAAAGGCAGCAGCCAGGGCCACUUAAGGUCAAUUAGUUUGACACCAGUCCAGACCAAAACAAUGGAGAAGUUCAGCUAUAGUUCCACUGACAGAAACACACAACUAAUGCUGGUCAAGCUGGCUGUUAGGGCAGGGUGUCUAGUUCUGUUUUCUAACAGGUCUGAGUAACCAAAUCUGAUGUCAUUAUUUCUAGGGUAAUGAAACAAAGACAACCCACCUCAGUGCAAAUAGCAGACAGUUUUUUAAUGAAAACUGAUUCAUACCAAGUAACUCUCAGGGAAAUAAAAAAUUUCCCCAACUCCCUACCACUUAUUCAUGCAGCACACGUACACUAUCAGAAGAAAAGGCUAGAUGAAAUAAAAAUGUCAUCACUGAAGAAAUGCCUGCAAGGAGAUCUGCCAGCAUCAGAACAAGCACAGUCCUAUUCAACAGUUUCAACACAGUCUCAGCAAGUAAACAUCACAUAAAUACUGCCAGAGCUCUAGGCAGCAAAUACAACACGUCCCUCACAUAUAAUCACACGGAUUGCUUGUGUACCUAAAACCAUGGAAAUAAUUUGUACUGAAAUGAGUGCAACAGAAACAAAAAAUUGAAGGCUGUCAUACUGACAGAAUAUUGUAAAGUAGAAAUUCAACAGUUUUAGGCUUCAAACAACUCAAGACUCUGCCCCAGACUUUCUGGGUAACUAUGGCCAAGUCAUUUAGUAGCUCUAUGUUUAAUACAUUUCAGGCCAUAAAAUGUCUUCAAGAAGUGCUGAAAAGGGAGUGAUGGUAAGAUAUACAUCAAUAUUUGUGAAAGCAUUCAGACUAUGGUGUCACAUGUAGCUGCACCAUUGCCAGUUUUAAGCUGAAAUAACCCCCAGCCCAAAUUUUGCUGCUGCCAAAAGCCCAGAAGAACGACCUAUUUAUGGGUAUUGUAUGCUUAAUUCAAAAAGCCCCAAACACAACAGUCUGUUAUGUAACUGAAAAUAUCUGUCCGCUCUUUGGAGAAAAAAAAAAACAAACAACAGAAUGCAGUAGUUUUGCUGACUUCAAGGACUACAAGUUAACUGGGAAGCACAGAUGUAUUGUCAGCUCCUAGAUACAUCUCAGUUAGAAAACCAAAUUUUUGCUAACUACAAAAGGCAGUGUGUGUCUGCUUGUUCCCGAUUCACCAUGUUCACCCAGUGGUGAAAAAAAUAAAUUAAUCUCUGGGGUGUUUUUACUUUUGCAUUUAGAGCAGGGCAUGUGAAAUAUGGGAUAGUUUAGUUCUUCUGAUGAUGGUCAAGAAGACUGAAGAGCCUAUGUGAAAUAUCACAUUUAUUGAGACUGCAGACUGAAAGACUGGAAAUUUAAAUUUAACUCCUGAAUCUCAGGCAUCCUGAACAAAUUCCUUGCACUUUAUUUCUUCUCAUAGAGGAGGAGUAUUACACUCACUCAUGGUGAGGAAUCCAUGUAUGAAACACAACCAUUAUAACCUCUGAUACCACCCAGCUAGACUGAUCAGCUAACAGCCACCCCACAAAACAAACACACUCCAGUUUAAUUAAAAGGCUGAAGAUUUCCAUUUUCUAUGCAAAUAAUGUAGCUACCAAGGAUCAUUUUGCCCAUCAAUACAAGAUUUAGACCAUUAUCAGAUUUUUAGUAAAAUCUCUUACCAAUAUACAUCUCUGACCUAGCAUGUACUUAUACUAGCAAGAAAUUUAUCUUUUUCCUUUUGCAAGUUAGUUCACAAAAGCACAUGGCUGGAGACCAUAGAUUCCCAGGAACAUGUCCCAGAGUGCAUACAGACAGGAAAACCAAGUUUAAUGACUCUGGCUGGAGAAACAACUCAACUGAUGUGAAAAAUGCCAGUUGGCAGCUCACUACUGAAAUGGAGACAAAUUUUAGAAAAAUCUCCUUUAUACUGGAGGAUUGCUACUGCUUUCACAGAGGUCAGUAUGUGACUUUGAGGCCAUAAGGAAUCACCUGCAUCAGUGAGUCUGAUCUGUGGAAACAAACUGUAGAAGCAUCCAGACACUUCAAAGUUUGUCAAUCUAGCAAAGUUUCAGGUACGUUGCUGUAGUAGUUAAUUUGUCUAAACCUUACUUUUAAUUUAUUAAACUUCAGCUUCCAAUCAGAAUUCAUCAAGCCUCUCUGUGCAGAUUACAAAGCUUUUUGCUGAGAGUAAUUCUUCAGCAAUACUUGAUACCAAAUCACCUGGUAACCUUUUCUGUCUUCAGGUAACAGAAGUAAACUGCAUUUCCUACAGACUCAUGAAUAAAAGUACUGUGAAAAUAACCACUAAGCAAUCACUAAGCUAUAAAGCAUUCAGAAACCCAAUCUUCCCUACUUCAAAAUUUGGCAUCUUCAAAAAGCCUUCCUUCCUCAACAACUAAGCAUAAAACACUAAAGUUACAUGGUUAAGUUUGCAAUUUCUCAAUUUCUGGUUUUCCUGGAGUGCAUUGAGACUUACUUUUCUCUCUCUUUUUUUUUUCCCCUGGAAAGCACACAUGCAGUAUUUUCCCAAAGGAGAAAGUUUAAAAGUAAUAUAUGUAAACUACAUUGUCAGUAUGCUGAACACAGGAGGUCAAGCAGGAAAUGCCUAAUAGGUAGGGCUUAAGAACUACAAGUGCAUGAUGACAUGUUCAAAAAAAGGCAAGAGUACACAGAUCUUUUCAUAAUGUUUGAUUGCGCUCAGAGGACAUUGGUCUGAUCCAAUAACCUUGGACUUCCCUCAUGUAUGUAGUCUUAGCUGAACAAAAAUUAUAUCAGAUCAAAGAAGAGACAGAU